Molecule: long non-coding RNA, 1780 nt
Organism: Pan troglodytes (chimpanzee)
Lineage: Eukaryota; Metazoa; Chordata; Mammalia; Primates; Hominidae
Exons: 2
Source: RefSeq, a predicted model, not a curated record
CCACCCAGGAGAGCCUGUGCAGCCUGGGGAACGUGCCAGGCUUGGGGCUGCUCCAUGGUGGCUGGUCACCUCUCUUGUAAUUGGCCACAUCUGGGGAGGGCACCAGGAGUACCUCUCUGCAGCACGAGGCCAGCUCAGGUUAGGACAGAGGCCCCAAGGGUCAGGGCCAUGCCUGCUUCAUGCCAUGUGCUGACUGAGCCCAUCUUGCAACCUGCCCAGCUGUUCCCCUGGGCCCUUGGAGUACAGGCACAGCCUCAGCCAAUUCCCUGAGUUCCUUGGCCAUCUUGCUUCGUCCAGUGGUUCUCAGCCUUGGCAGAAGCUUAGAAAAAACAGGAUGCUUUUAAAGAUCAGCUUUAAAAAACAGGAUGCCAAGGCCCCAUCACUCAGGGUCUCUGGAGAUGUGGCUGGUGCCAGGAUACUUCAAGGUGAUCCAGUGCUUCCCAUGCGCUCAGCUUCCCCUGAGCCAACUGGAGCUGGAGCUCAUUCAUCUGUCACACCCCUACACUCUGCAAGGAGGAAGGGUGUGGUCCUCCCCAUUCCUCAUCGACUCUUCCAGGGUUUAUCUCUGCCCUCAAAGCCCACGAAGGUGGGGUGCGGUGACUCAUGCCUGUUAUCCCAGCUCUUUGGGAGGUGGAGGCAGGCAGAUUGUUGGAGAUCAGGAGUUUGAAACCAGCCUGGCCAACAUGGCGAAACCUCUUCUCUACUAAAAAUACAAAAAUUAACUGAUGUGGUGGAGGGUGCCUGUAAUCCCAGCUACUCAGGAGGCUGAGGCAGGAGAAUUGCUUGAACCCAGGAGGUGGAAGUUGCAGUGAGCUUAGAUUGCGCCACUGCACUCCAGCCUGGACCGCAGAACAAGACUCUGUCUUCAAAAACAAAACAAAACAAAUGCAAAGGGCCUUCUGGUCAACCCACAGUGGGAUGGGGAGGAGGAGGAGACACGGGGAGGGAGAAGGUGGAAGGUGCCCUGGUGGGCUUUGGCCCAGCCUCUUCAUAGACUGAAAGAGUCAGCCCUGCCAUCACCCCCAAAGCCACCUCUAGCCCAGGAGGCCCAUGCUGGGCCACCCCCAGGCUUCCCACAAGGACACCAGAAGGUCUGGCAGGGAGAGUGGAGGCUGCUGGCCCCCACUCUGACCUCCCCCACAGGGAGAGGCACCGGGAGCUGAGCUGGGGCACAGAGGCAGGCACGGUGCCCACGAGCCCUGGCAAAGUCCCCGAGGACUCAUUGGCCCGGCUGCUCCGGGUGCUGCAGGACCUCCGCGAGGCCCAUAGCUCCAGCCCGGCCGGCUCCCCACCCUCAGAGCCCAACUGCCUCCUGGAGCUGCAGACGUGAGGCCCGCCCUACGCUCCCCUUGCUGAGUCCCCUGCCAAGCACUCGGAGCCCCCCCAGGACACUCUGCACCCCCUCACCCCGGUCCUCCUCAUUAGGGUGCAGGGCCUAGGUCUCUUCCAAGUGGGGGAGGGGGGAGAGUCAGGAAUAAGGGGAUCCCCAGAAGUGCAGAGCUGAGCAGGCUUGGGCCUGUCAUGGCUGGCCUGAAGUGUCCCCAGCUCCCUACAGCCGCUGUAGCCAUCACUGCCUCUCCAGGGACCCUCCUCUCCUGCCUAGGACAGACCCAGCCAGAACCACUGCUAGGAUGGGCCACACCCAGGGGUCUGGCCUCCAGGGACCUAGAGAAUGGGAGGGAGAACGGGGCCCCAGGAGACCCGGCCGCCACCCCACCCGCUACCCUUGGGUGCCACAGGGCUGUGCUGUUGCCAACAGUAAACCUGCUGUUACUGUCCA